CCCUUAGAUGUCCUGGGCCGCACGCGCGCUACACUGACAUGUUCAACAAGCCUCCUAGUUCGACAGGAUUUGGGAAAUCUUUGAACGCAUGUCGUGAUAGGGAUAGAUCAUUGCAAUUAUUGAUCUUGAACGAGGAAUUCCUAGUAAACGCGAGUCAUCAGCUCGCAUUGAUUACGUCCCUGCCCUUUGUACACACCGCCCGUCGCACCUACCGAUUGAAUGUUUCGGUGAAGAUUCCGGAUAGGACUUUUUUGAUUUAUUUCAAUUCUGUCUUAAAAGCUAUCUAAACCUAAACAUUUAGAGGAAGGUGAAGUCGUAACA
Molecule: ribosomal RNA, 321 nt
Filed under: uncultured eukaryote
Lineage: Eukaryota
Description: partial 18S ribosomal RNA
Rfam family: Eukaryotic small subunit ribosomal RNA
Source: RNAcentral